GGACACAGUCCCACAAGCUUUAAUACAUAGUGCUAUUCUUCAGCAUUGUGGUUGGAGAAGUCAGUAUAUUUCUCAGCAGAGACUUUGUCAUGGUGAUCUAUCUCUCCGUGGCCUUAAGGCCAGAUUACUACAACACACCUUGCAAAACCAACCCCAGGCUAGAGCUGCUCGAGGGACCUCACCUGGGGAAGCUGGAGAAUCCUGAGCUCAGCAAAUCACAUAAGAGCAUGUUGGAGCAAGAGAGGGGGAACAUUUCCUGGCAGAGAGACAGACAAGACCUGUGAGAGCUGCGAGGAGGCGAACACCAUUUCUAGGGAGAACUGUAGGCAGAGAGGACAUAUGGAGAAGAAGACAAAGGGUAAGAAAGCAGAGAUGAUAACACUGCUGCAAACUCUAUGGGUCCCUUCCACAGCCUUUCUGGAGGGUCAGGGCUAGGACCAGCUCUGCUGCAGCCAUCACUACCAACAGCCUGGAAAGCUGCAGGUGAGCACUUUAUGAAGGCUCUCCCCACCAGAAUGCCUGUCAGGAGGAGUAUUAAUCAUGAAAUAUUAAAACACACAUAUAAAAUGUGUGUAGACACACACACACACACGUUUACAGUCUCUCUAUGUAUAAACCUUAUCGCUUACAAAGGGCUAGGAUUUAGAAUGUAGUUUAGCGGCCCAGUGCAACCCAAUCCUAUAAAUAAUACAUUCCUAUCACUAUGACCUCAAAAUGUCAAUACCGCACAGCCCUGCGCAUUUGCAUAUCUUGUACUGUCUAAACUUGAAGCAUGUCAGCUAUGUGCUUCUGUUUGUACUUUAACUUCAUUUUAGCUCUGGCUUCCUAGCUC
Long non-coding RNA from Pogoniulus pusillus (Red-fronted tinkerbird), 832 nucleotides. RefSeq lists it as uncharacterized. The transcript has 3 exons. The record is from RefSeq and is a predicted model, not a curated record. Lineage: Eukaryota; Metazoa; Chordata; Aves; Piciformes; Lybiidae.